RNAcentral lists this ribosomal RNA (253 nucleotides) under uncultured bacterium. RNAcentral's name for it is "partial 16S ribosomal RNA". It matches the Rfam family "Bacterial small subunit ribosomal RNA", at positions 524 to 776 of the family's 1533-position model. The record is from RNAcentral.
UACGUAGGGUGCAAGCGUUGUCCGGAAUUAUUGGGCGUAAAGAGCUCGUAGGCGGUCUGUCGCGUCGGAUGUGAAAAUCCAGGGCUCAACCCUGGACCUGCAUUCGAUACGGGCAGACUAGAGUUCGGUAGGGGAGACUGGAAUUCCUGGUGUAGCGGUGGAAUGCGCAGAUAUCAGGAGGAACACCGGUGGCGAAGGCGGGUCUCUGGGCCGAAAUUGACGCUGAGGAGCGAAAGCGUGGGGAGCAAACAGG